UAGUGUUACAGCUCUUUUAGAAUUUGUCUAGCAGAUUUUCCAGUUCUUUCCCGGAACCGC
RNAcentral lists this small nuclear RNA (60 nucleotides) under Echinops telfairi (small Madagascar hedgehog). Its description in RNAcentral is "U7 small nuclear RNA (ENSETEG00000026305.1)". It matches the Rfam family "U7 small nuclear RNA". From Rfam's summary of the family: Animal histone pre-mRNAs are spliced by a different mechanism than nuclear pre-mRNAs and self-splicing introns. This processing involves the U7 snRNP, which contains only one RNA species: U7. The record is from RNAcentral. Lineage: Eukaryota; Metazoa; Chordata; Mammalia; Afrosoricida; Tenrecidae.